UCAGGCCAGCAUUCACAAACUGGGAAAAGCGGGGCGGGAGGGGGGCGCUGACGGCGCCCAGACAAGAACAGGACUCCAGUCCCUCGUCCUGGAGGCUGGGCCGACCGACUGGGUCAGUUCAGAGAAGGGGGAAGGAGAUCCACGUCCUCGCUCAGGAGGGAGGCAAAGGUCCACUUCCUCACUCUGGAGGAAGGCAGGCAAUCUAUGUCCCCACUUCAGAGGACAGCUGUAGAGGAAGCAGGCUGCUCCGGCUGUCACAGGGUCUUGCAGAGUCUGGCACGUCCCACUAUCUUCACAGUGACUGGAGAAGUACGAACCUACGCCUUCGUGCUGUGCCGCACUGCUAUUUAUUGGCGUCGAAAUGAUGAGCUGCAGGUGUGGAUCUCUGUGGCUGUGAAUCUCCACACGUGCUCAGCAUCAGUGCUCAUCAUUGGCCGUGGCAGUUUUUCCCAUGUACAAUUAUAGAGCCAGAGCUUCGAGGAGCCAGCCCCUGGUGGACGGCAUGAUAUUGCAAGUUUGGCCUCAUUUUUGGUGCAAGGCGCUACGUCCACCUUUAUUAUACAGCAUAUGCUCCUGAGUGUGGUAACUCAGGGACAAGUAUUUAGACAGCACCCUGGCCAGUGACCUCCUGAACUUCUCACCGACAAAUGCAUAAACUACUGGAUUUAUACAGCAGUGAGACAGUGCAAUGAUCUCAGCGAAGCCCAUGGCAGAGCCGAUGGCUUUGAAAACAUUACAGUUGUUCAGAACUCCAAGCUGCUCCAGCGUCUGAAGGAAAACCAGGACAUUGUACGGAACCCAACACACCACAAACACACACACUAUGGUGAAAAUCAGCUUCACAGCUCUGUUCUUUUUGGAGUUCCUGCACUUUGAAAGCACAACAAGGAUUUUCACAUAGCAGAAAACUAUGAUGGGAAGGCACACAAAAAGGCCCACUGUGUUCUCACUGAAGUUUUGCCGCAGCUUCCAGAAGUACUGGCUGUCCUCUGGGUAGACUGGGUGGCAGUGGGAGUCAUUUCCAUCCAUCUCCAAGGAGACAAAUAUCACCUGAGGGGUUGCCAUGAUGACAGAAAUGACCCAGGUGAUGACACUGGCUGUGAUUCCAUAACGAAGCGUCCGGGCUUGAACGGCCGCCACGGCAUGGACGAUGGCCAGGUAGCGGUCCACGCUCAUUAGGGUUACAAACAAAGUCCCACUGUAGAAACCUAACUGUUCAGAGGAGCAGAGGAGGAAGGUGGGUAAGAACAGGAUGUGACAUGAGGUUACACUUCACCAGCCUCAGUGAAGUUCAGCGCUCAGCCGACAUUACAUGGCACCUGUUUCACACACGACAUGAGGACGGUUGUUGUCACCACAGAAAACAUCUGAUAUAAUCUCUAGAAUUCAACUUUGUUAAUGACACGUGGUCUCUUCUAAUAUGUCUUAUAUGUCAGAAUAUGAGUAAUUUGUUAUAUGCAAAUUAAAUAGUAAAAAUAAGAUUAAUUUUAAGAAUAUGAAAGCCCACCUGAUAGACUCCUGUGAUCAGCUUGCAUGAUACAAGGUUCUGGGAACUGUAGGCCCAGAGUGGCAGAGACACAGUCAGUAAAAGGUCAGACAGAACCAGGUUCAGCAGACAGACAUCUGUCAUUGUUUUCACUUUUAUGUGCCGCAGGAGAACCCAGAGAACUGUGCUGUUGCCUGUGAAAUCAAUUCAAAGCAUUCAUUCAGUUCAAUCCAGUGAUGGUGAUAUGGCACCAACUCACAGCAUAAUAAUCAUGUCAGGUUAAGACUGAAUGAUAAUAUAUUAGAUUUCAAAAUCCUAAAUUUUCCUUUGAGCAAAACUUGGACACAGUGGGAAGAGAAAAACUUGCUUUUUGAGCAGACACAAAUGAAGUCAGUUAUUCAUUUUGCUGUUACUUCUGGUAGAAAACCUGUUGAAUUUGUUGCAUGUGUCAGCUGAGAGUGUAGGUUUGCAUGUGAACUUUGUAAUCUUUUUGCUGUUUGUUCCUGACUACUCAUCUUUUCUUUCUUCGUCCUACUCUCACUUCAGCUGGAGUUUUUUUACUAAUAAAAAGUGCUGCCGCCAAGGGAAGCAUUGGGUUUCCCUGUAUAAUAUUGGAAGGUCUUUACCUUUACACCUCUUGCCUUUAGAUUCCAUUGUACAUGUUACUUCCUACUUACUAAUCAUGUAAAUUUUCACUGUCAGUGAGUCUCAAAUGUAAAGCAGAAAUUAAAACAUCCAUUUGAAAUCGUCUUGCAGUACUUCUGACUGAAUGUGAAUAAAAAUGACAUAUCAGUACACCCCA
Molecule: long non-coding RNA, 2288 nt
Organism: Acanthochromis polyacanthus (spiny chromis)
Lineage: Eukaryota; Metazoa; Chordata; Actinopteri; Pomacentridae
Exons: 2
Source: RefSeq, a predicted model, not a curated record